Molecule: transfer RNA, 73 nt
Filed under: Planctomycetota bacterium
Lineage: Bacteria; Pseudomonadati; Planctomycetota
Description: Planctomycetes bacterium (marine metagenome) tRNA-Thr
Rfam family: tRNA
About the family: Transfer RNA (tRNA) molecules are approximately 80 nucleotides in length. Their secondary structure includes four short double-helical elements and three loops (D, anti-codon, and T loops). Further hydrogen bonds mediate the characteristic L-shaped molecular structure. tRNAs have two regions of fundamental functional importance: the anti-codon, which is responsible for specific mRNA codon recognition, and the 3' end, to which the tRNAs corresponding amino acid is attached (by aminoacyl-tRNA synthetases). tRNAs cope with the degeneracy of the genetic code in two manners: having more than one tRNA (with a specific anti-codon) for a particular amino acid; and 'wobble' base-pairing, i.e. permitting non-standard base-pairing at the 3rd anti-codon position.
Source: RNAcentral
GCUUGCGUAGCUCAGUUGGUAGAGCACGUCAUUCGUAAUGAUGAGGUCGCGAGUUCGAGUCUCGCCGCAAGCU